GUAACACUACCAAAUAUCAAAUAGAAACAAACCUCGAUUAAUACCCACUGAAAUUUUUGUAUUGUCAUUGACUUGUGUGUUCAGAUAUUUGAAGCAAUUCACACUGAUUGAAGGAACAAGAAUCACAUACUAGGAUGAUUUAUUGCUUGUAUUCUUGUAGAUAAGGGGAGCUUGCACUGGAAGGAGAUCAUUAUUUGACAACAGGGGAGCUUGUGAGUCUCAGUGAGCAGCAGCUUGUGGACUGUGAUCAUGAGUGUGAUCCAGAAGAAUACGGUUCAUGUGACUCAGGCUGUACUGGUACGGUUCGUGUGACUCAGGCUGUACUGGUGGACUAAGUCAAGGCUGGUGGUUUGGAGCAAGAGAAGGACUACCCUUAAAAACAGUGGGACUGAUCGUGGUACCUGCAAAUUUGACAAGAGUAAAGAUGUUGCUACUGUAUCCAACUUCAGCAUUCUUUCCCUUGACGAAGAUCAAAUUGCUGCAAAUUUGGUCCACAAUGUACUUUUGCCAUUGAAAUAUAGGUUUGGAUCGUUUCCUUCAAGUCUGAGAAUAAUGAACUACCAAGAGAGUUGUGUACUCUAGACCAUAUGUAAACCAUGUUUGCUGCAAUAUAAGUUUCUUUUGUUCCAAAA
This is a long non-coding RNA of Rosa rugosa (rugosa rose), 632 nucleotides long. RefSeq lists it as uncharacterized. The record is from RefSeq and is a predicted model, not a curated record. Lineage: Eukaryota; Viridiplantae; Streptophyta; Magnoliopsida; Rosales; Rosaceae. The transcript has 2 exons.